Molecule: ribosomal RNA, 1188 nt
Filed under: Enterococcus faecium
Lineage: Bacteria; Bacillati; Bacillota; Bacilli; Lactobacillales; Enterococcaceae
Description: bacterial SSU rRNA
Rfam family: Bacterial small subunit ribosomal RNA
Source: RNAcentral
AAGGGGAUAAUACUUGGAAACAGGGGCAAAUACCGAAUAACAAUCGAAACCGCGGGGUUUUGAUUUGAAAGGCGCUUUCGGGUGUCGCUGAUGGAUGGACCCGCGGUGCAUUAGCUAGUUGGUGAGGUAACGGCUCACCAAGGCCACGAUGCAUAGCCGACCUGAGAGGGUGAUCGGCCACAUUGGGACUGAAACACGGCCCAAACUCCUACGGGAGGCAGCAGUAGGGAAUCUUCGGCAAUGGACGAAAGUCUGACCGAGCAACGCCGCGUGAGUGAAGAAGGUUUUCGGAUCGUAAAACUCUGUUGUUAGAGAAGAACAAGGAUGAGAGUAACUGUUCAUCCCUUGACGGUAUCUAACCAGAAAGCCACGGCUAACUACGUGCCAGCAGCCGCGGUAAUACGUAGGUGGCAAGCGUUGUCCGGAUUUAUUGGGCGUAAAGCGAGCGCAGGCGGUUUCUUAAGUCUGAUGUGAAAGCCCCCGGCUCAACCGGGGAGGGUCAUUGGAAACUGGGAGACUUGAGUGCAGAAGAGGAGAGUGGAAUUCCAUGUGUAGCGUUGAAAUGCGUAAAUAUAUGGAGGAACACCAGUGGCGAAGGCGGCUCUCUGGUCUGUAACUGACGCUGAGGCUCGAAAGCGUGGGGAGCAAACAGGAUUAGAUACCCUGGUAGUCCACGCCGUAAACGAUGAGUGCUAAGUGUUGGAGGGUUUCCGCCCUUCAGUGCUGCAGCUAACGCAUUAAGCACUCCGCCUGGGGAGUACGACCGCAAGGUUGAAACUCAAAGGAAUUGACGGGGGCCCGCACAAGCGGUGGACCAUGUGGUUUAAUUCGAAGCAACGCGAAGACCCUUACCAGGUCUUGACAUCCUUUGACCACUCUAGAGAUAGAGCUUCCCCUUCGGGGGCAAAGUGCCAGGUGGUGCAUGGUUGUCGUCAGCUCGUGUCGUGAGAUGUUGGGUUAAGUCCCGCAACGAGCGCAACCCUUAUUGUUAGUUGCCAUCAUUCAGUUGGGCACUCUAGCAAGACUGCCGGUGACAAACCGGAGGAAGGUGGGGAUGACGUCAAAUCAUCAUGCCCCUUAUGACCUGGGCUACACACGUGCUACAAUGGGAAGUACAACGAGUUGCGAAGUCGCGAGGCUAAGCUAAUCUCUUAAAGCUUCUCUCAGUUCGGAAUGCAGGCUGCAACU